This 482-nucleotide ribosomal RNA is filed under the name uncultured bacterium. RNAcentral describes it as "bacterial SSU rRNA". It matches the Rfam family "Bacterial small subunit ribosomal RNA", at positions 30 to 506 of the family's 1533-position model. The record is from RNAcentral.
UUGAACGCUGGCGGCAUGCUUUACACAUGCAAGUCGAACGGCAGCGGGGGCUUCGGCCUGCCGGCGAGUGGCGAACGGGUGAGUAAUGCAUCGGAACGUACCCAGUCGUGGGGGAUAACUACGCGAAAGCGUGGCUAAUACCGCAUACGACCUGAGGGAGAAAGCGGGGGCUCGCAAGACCUCGCGCGAUUGGAGUGGCCGAUAUCUGAUUAGCUAGUAGGUGAGGUAAAGGCUCACCUAGGCGACGAUCCGUAGCUGGUCUGGGAGGACGACCAGCCACACUGGAACUGAGACACGGUCCAGACUCCUACGGGAGGCAGCAGUGGGGAAUUUUGGACAAUGGGCGAAAGCCUGAUCCAGCCAUACCGCGUGAGUGAAGAAGGCCUUCGGGUUGUAAAGCUCUUUCAGCCGGAAAGAAAUUGCUUCUAUUAAUACUAGGAGUAGAUGACGGUACCGGAAGAAGAAGCACCGGCUAACUACGU